GCAUACUUCUGGCCGACACACGCAUGGGGCCCAGCACCAAAUGCUAGAAAGUUCUUUUUGUAAACCCGCUCCUCUUGUCUCUCCUCCAUGAACCGGUCCGGUUCAAAUUUCUCCGGUUCAGGAAAACCCUGAAAUGAUGAAUCAAAAACCGACGGGAACACAAUUGUUCCUUUUGGGAUAACGUAAUCUUCGGUUAACCGGAAUUCUUCGCCGGCAAUAUGUGGCACCAUUGUCGCCGGAGCUCUGAUUCUG
This 252-nucleotide unclassified non-coding RNA is filed under the name Hevea brasiliensis (rubber tree). The record is from RNAcentral. Lineage: Eukaryota; Viridiplantae; Streptophyta; Magnoliopsida; Malpighiales; Euphorbiaceae.